RNAcentral lists this ribosomal RNA (496 nucleotides) under uncultured Glomeromycotina. RNAcentral describes it as "partial small subunit ribosomal RNA". It matches the Rfam family "Eukaryotic small subunit ribosomal RNA", at positions 591 to 1092 of the family's 1831-position model. Lineage: Eukaryota; Fungi; Glomeromycota. The record is from RNAcentral.
CCAAUAGCGUAUAUUAAAGUUGUUGCAGUUAAAAAGCUCGUCGUUGAAUUUUGGGUUUGGCCGAUUGGUCCGUUCUUGUAACGAGUACUGGUCGGUUGGGCCUCACCGCCUGGUGAUGCGUAAUGUCCUUUAUUGGGUGUUGCGAGUAGUCAGGACCUUUACCUUGAAAAAAUUAGAGUGUUUAAAGCAGGCUUAUGCCGGAAUACAUUAGCAUGGAAUAAUAGAAUAGGACGAUGAUUCUAUUUUGUUGGUUUCUAGGAGCAUCGUAAUGAUUAAUAGGGAUAGUUGGGGGCAUUAGUAUUCAAUUGUCAGAGGUGAAAUUCUUGGAUUUAUUGAAGACUAACUACUGCGAAAGCAUUUGCCAAGGAUGUUUUCAUUAAUCAAGAACGAAAGUUAGGGGAUCGAAGACGAUCAGAUACCGUCGUAGUCUUAACCAUAAACUAUGCCGACUAGGGAUCGGGCGAUGUUGUUUCAAUGACUCGCUCGGCACCUUAUG